CCUACGGGUGGCAGCAGUGGGGGAUAUUGGACAAUGGGGGAAACCCUGAUCCAGCGACGCCGCGUGAGUGAAGAAGUAUCUAGGUAUGUAAAGCUCUGUCAGCAGGGAAGAAAGAAAUGACGGUACCUGACCAAGAAGCCCCGGCUAACUACGUGCCAGCAGCCGCGGCAAUACGUAGGGGGCAAGCGUUAUCCGGAAUUACUGGGUGUAAAGGGAGCGUAGACGGAAGGUUAAGUCAGCGGUAAAAUGACGGUGCUCAACACCGGCCUGCCGUUGAAACUGGUCUUCUUGAGUGUGCGAGAAGUAUGCGGAAUGCGUGGUGUAGCGGUGAAAUGCAUAGAUAUCACGCAGAACUCCGAUUGCGAAGGCAGCAUACCGGCGCUCAACUGACGCUGAGGCACGAAAGCGUGGGGAUCGAACAGGAUUAGAUACCCGGGUAGUC
RNAcentral lists this ribosomal RNA (442 nucleotides) under uncultured bacterium. RNAcentral's name for it is "partial 16S ribosomal RNA". It matches the Rfam family "Bacterial small subunit ribosomal RNA", at positions 338 to 795 of the family's 1533-position model. The record is from RNAcentral.